RNAcentral lists this unclassified non-coding RNA (272 nucleotides) under plant metagenome. RNAcentral's name for it is "partial contains small subunit ribosomal RNA, internal transcribed spacer 1, and 5.8S ribosomal RNA". The record is from RNAcentral.
UUUCCGCAGGUGAACCUGCGGAAGGAUCAUUAAUGAGUUGUCAUGGGGUUCGAUGCUGGCAGCCAGUUUUUGGAUGCAUGUGCUUGCCCUAACAAUCAUCUUCUUCCAAACACCUGUGCACAUUUUUGAGGGAGUCUUGAGUUGGUUGCCGCUCUUGGGUGAUUUUCUCACAUUCCCUUAAAUCAUUAUACGCUAUUAACAAUGUUGAACGUGCUCUGUGCCGCAAGGCCAUUAAUAUAAUACAACUUUUAACAACGGAUCUCUUGGCUCUC